UCAACAUUUAUGUGGGCGUUAAACAUU
Molecule: small RNA, 27 nt
Filed under: Bombyx mori (domestic silkworm)
Lineage: Eukaryota; Metazoa; Arthropoda; Insecta; Lepidoptera; Bombycidae
Description: ovarian small RNA-24600
Source: RNAcentral